AGAACAUUUUGGUUAGAAGUUCUUAGAGGUAAUAUAUGAGGAGGGCAAUGGGACUCACUACAUUUUUCUCAUGGAGGGAAAGACUUAAGAAAAUGAAUAGAACAUCAGCCAAUGUAAACAUACAAUAUUAAAUAUAUUAAGUAUAAAAAGAUUAUAUGAGGAAAUUGGAAUAUGAGGAAUAUGGUAUAUAGUGAUGUAUGAGGAAAUGUAG
This 211-nucleotide long non-coding RNA is filed under the name Bos taurus (domestic cattle). RNAcentral describes it as "long non-coding RNA NONBTAT001265". The record is from RNAcentral. Lineage: Eukaryota; Metazoa; Chordata; Mammalia; Artiodactyla; Bovidae.